RNAcentral lists this ribosomal RNA (468 nucleotides) under uncultured bacterium. RNAcentral describes it as "partial 16S ribosomal RNA". It matches the Rfam family "Bacterial small subunit ribosomal RNA", at positions 28 to 507 of the family's 1533-position model. The record is from RNAcentral.
GACGAACGCUGGCGGCGUGCUUAACACAUGCAAGUCGAACGGAAAGGCCCUGCUUUUGUGGGGUGCUUGAGUGGCGAACGGGUGAGAAACACGUGAGUAACCCGCCCUUGACUUUGGGAUAACUUCAGGAAACUGGGGCUAAUACCGGAUAGGAGCUCCUGCUGCAUGGUGGGGGUUGGAAAGUUUCGGCGGUUGGGGAUGGACUCGCGGCUUACCGGCUUGUUGGUGGGGUAGUGGCUUACCAAGGCUUUGACGGGUAGCCGGCCUGGGAGGGUGACCGGCCACAUUGGGACUGAGAUACGGCCCAGACUCCUACGGGAGGCAGCGGUGGGAAAUAUUGCACAAUGGGCGGAAGCCUGAUGCGGCAACGCCGCGUGCGGGAUAACGGCCUUCGGGUUGUAAACCGCUUUCGCCGGUGACGAGGCGUGAGUGACGGUAAUGGGUAAAGAAGCACCGGCUAACUACGUG